RNAcentral lists this ribosomal RNA (497 nucleotides) under uncultured bacterium. Its description in RNAcentral is "partial 16S ribosomal RNA". It matches the Rfam family "Bacterial small subunit ribosomal RNA", at positions 28 to 507 of the family's 1533-position model. The record is from RNAcentral.
GAUGAACGCUGGCGGCGUGCCUAAUACAUGCAAGUCGAGCGAACAGACGAGGAGCUUGCUCCUUCGACGUUAGCGGCGGACGGGUGAGUAACACGUAGAUAACCUACCUAUAAGACUGGGAUAACUUCGGGAAACCGGAGCUAAUACCGGAUAAUAUUUUGAACCGCAUGGUUCGAUAGUGAAAGAUGGCUUUGCUAUCACUUAUAGAUGGAUCUGCGCCGUAUUAGCUAGUUGGUAAGGUAACGGCUUACCAAGGCAACGAUACGUAGCCGACCUGAGAGGGUGAUCGGCCACACUGGAACUGAGACACGGUCCAGACUCCUACGGGAGGCAGCAGUAGGGAAUCUUCCGCAAUGGGCGAAAGCCUGACGGAGCAACGCCGCGUGAGUGAUGAAGGUCUUCGGAUCGUAAAACUCUGUUAUUAGGGAAGAACAAACGUGUAAGUAACUGUGCACGUCUUGACGGUACCUAAUCAGAAAGCCACGGCUAACUACGUG